Molecule: long non-coding RNA, 468 nt
Filed under: Anser cygnoides (Swan goose)
Lineage: Eukaryota; Metazoa; Chordata; Aves; Anseriformes; Anatidae
Description: lncRNA (ENSACDG00005008967.1)
Source: RNAcentral
AUGGACAGGUCAUCAGUGGAUUUUGGGACUACAAGAGAACAGUUGUGGAUCUGUCUAGAAAUACCUGUUCCAACCCAUAAAAUUAAGGAAACGGACAAGUCACUGUUCUUUGUCUCGCCUGAUUGUAACCAAUUCCACCUGUUGGCAUCACCGAAGUUGAAGUAGUAAGCAAAUUAUUCAUCUAUGUUAAUUCUUCUAUCAUGCAAAAUACACGUUUUUAGAAUUACUGGGAUUAUUUUAAAAUCCUGCAUUUAAGGUAGGAUCUUACCCUAGCAAUUUUGAAAGUAGCUUAGCACAAAGGAAAUGCAAUGUGGGGCAGUGAUUUCCAGUUCUAUUUUGAGCUUUGUACAAGUGACCUGGGAAUAUCAAAGGCUGAAUAACUGCUGACAAAACAACUGGAUCUUCUGUUGAAGAGGGACUGGCAAAGUCUGGCAUUUCUCAAGGCCAAUUUUGUAACCUGACAUUCUU